GUCCACGCCGUAAACGAUGGAUGCUCGGUGUUUGGCGGGGAAACCUGCUGGGCACCUCAGCUGACGCGUAAGCAUCCCGCCUGGGAACUACGAGCGCAAGCUUAAAACUCAAAGGAAUUGACGGGGGCCCGCACAAGCAGCGGAGCGUGUGGUUUAAUUCGACGCAACCCGCAGCACCUUACCCAGACUUGACAUGGCACUGCAAGCCCGUGAAAGCGGGUCGCCUUCGAGGGUGUGCCGCAGAUGCUGCAUGGCUGUCGU
RNAcentral lists this ribosomal RNA (261 nucleotides) under uncultured bacterium. RNAcentral's name for it is "partial 16S ribosomal RNA". It matches the Rfam family "Bacterial small subunit ribosomal RNA", at positions 793 to 1055 of the family's 1533-position model. The record is from RNAcentral.